CGGACGGGUGAGUAACACGUAGAGAACCUACCUUACACAGGGGGACAACGGCUGGAAACGGCUGCUAAUACCGCAUAAGCACCCAGUUUCACAUGAAACAGAGUGAAAAGAGUAAAUCGGUGUAAGAUGGCUCUGCGUCUGAUUAGCUAGUUGGUGGGGUAAAGGCUCACCAAGGCGACGAUCAGUAGCCGGCCUGAGAGGGCGACCGGCCACAUUGGGACUGAGACACGGCCCAGACUCCUACGGAAGGCAGCAG
RNAcentral lists this ribosomal RNA (256 nucleotides) under uncultured bacterium. RNAcentral's name for it is "partial 16S ribosomal RNA". It matches the Rfam family "Bacterial small subunit ribosomal RNA", at positions 99 to 354 of the family's 1533-position model. The record is from RNAcentral.